This 24-nucleotide microRNA is filed under the name Gossypium raimondii (Peruvian cotton). RNAcentral describes it as "gra-miR8717". Lineage: Eukaryota; Viridiplantae; Streptophyta; Magnoliopsida; Malvales; Malvaceae. The record is from miRBase by way of RNAcentral.
AUUGGUUGUUCUGAUUCGAGGCUA